UGCCCUAGUAACGGCGAGUGAAGCGGCAACAGCUCAAAUUUGAAAGCUGGCCUUCGGGUCCGCAUUGUAAUUUGUAGAGGAUGCUUUGGGGCAGCCGCCUGUCUAAGUUCCUUGGAACAGGACGUCAUAGAGGGUGAGAAUCCCGUAUGUGACAGGACAUGGCACCCUAUGUAAAGCUCCUUCGACGAGUCGAGUUGUUUGGGAAUGCAGCUCUAAAUGGGAGGUAAAUUUCUUCUAAAGCUAAAUACCGGCGAGAGACCGAUAGCGCACAAGUAGAGUGAUCGAAAGAUGAAAAGCACUUUGGAAAGAGAGUUAAAAAGCACGUGAAAUUGUUGAAAGGGAAGCGCUUGCAAUCAGACUUGUUUUUGGGUGUUCAGCCGGUCUUCUGACCGGUUUACUCGCCCUUUGACAGGCCAGCAUCAGUUUCGGCGGUCGGAUAAAGGCAUUGGGAAUGUAGCCCUCACUUCGGUGCGGGUGUUAUAGCCCAGUGUGUAAUACGGCCAGCCGGGACUGAGGUCCGCGCUUCGGCUAGGAUGCUGGCGUAAUGGUUGUAAGCGACCCGUCUUGAA
RNAcentral lists this ribosomal RNA (569 nucleotides) under Hormonema sp. RNAcentral describes it as "partial large subunit ribosomal RNA". It matches the Rfam family "Eukaryotic large subunit ribosomal RNA", at positions 76 to 658 of the family's 3401-position model. The record is from RNAcentral. Lineage: Eukaryota; Fungi; Ascomycota; Dothideomycetes; Dothideales; Dothioraceae.